CCUACGGGGGCAGCAGUCGGGAAUAUUGCGCAAUGGAGGAAACUCUGACGCAGUGACGCCGCGUAUAGGAAGAAGGUUUUCGGAUUGUAAACUAUUGUCGUUAGGGAAGAGAAAGGACAGUACCUAAGGAGGAAGCUCCGGCUAACUACGUGCCAGCAGCCGCGGUAAUACGUAGGGAGCGAGCGUUAUCCGGAUUUAUUGGGUGUAAAGGGUGCGUAGACGGGAAUGCAAGUUGGUUGUGAAAUCCCUCGGCUUAACUGAGGAACUGCAACCAAAACUACAUUUCUUGAGUGCUGGAGAGGAAA
RNAcentral lists this ribosomal RNA (305 nucleotides) under uncultured bacterium. Its description in RNAcentral is "bacterial SSU rRNA". It matches the Rfam family "Bacterial small subunit ribosomal RNA", at positions 338 to 660 of the family's 1533-position model. The record is from RNAcentral.